ACGAACGCUGGCGGCGUGCUUCACACAUGCCAGUCGAACGGUGAAGCGCCUUCCUUUUUGGUGGGUGUGGAUGAGUGGCGAACGGGUGAGUAACACGUGAGUAACCUGCCCCCUUCUUCUGGAUAACCGCAUGAAAGUGUGGCUAAUACGGGAUAUUCUGGGUCUGUCGCAUGAUGGGUCUGGGAAAGAUAUUGUUUCGGUGGGGGAUGGGCUCGCGGCCUAUCAGCUUGUUGGUGGGGUGAUGGCCUACCAAGGCGGUGACGGGUAGCCGGCCUGAGAGGGUGGACGGUCACACUGGGACUGAGACACGGCCCAGACUCCUACGGGAGGCAGCAGUGGGGAAUAUUGCACAAUGGGCGCAAGCCUGAUGCAGCGACGCCGCGUGAGGGAUGGAGGCCUUCGGGUUGUGAACCUCUUUCGCCAGUGAAGCAGGCCUGCCUCGUUUGUGGGUGGGUUGACGGUAGCUGGAGAAGAAGCGCCGGCUAACUACGUG
Molecule: ribosomal RNA, 493 nt
Filed under: uncultured bacterium
Lineage: Bacteria
Description: partial 16S ribosomal RNA
Rfam family: Bacterial small subunit ribosomal RNA
Source: RNAcentral